GAUGAACGCUAGCGGCAGGCUUAAUACAUGCAAGUCGUGGGGCAGCAUGAGUAGCAAUACUUGAUGGCGACCGGCAAACGGGUGAGGAACACGUACACAACCUUCCUUCAAGCGGGGAAUAGCCCAGAGAAAUUUGGAUUAAUACCCCAUAAUAUAUUUGAUAAGGCAUCUUAUUAAUAUUAAAGCUUCGGCACUUGAUGAUGGGUGUGCGGCUGAUUAGAUAGUUGGCGGGUAACGGCCCACCAAGUCUACGAUCAGUAGCUGAUGUGAGAGCAUGAUCAGCCACACGGGCACUGAGACACGGGCCCGACUCCUACGGGAGGCAGCAGUAAGGAAUAUUGGACAAUGGACGAAAGUCUGAUCCAGCCAUGCCGCGUGAAGGAUUAAGGUCCUCUGGAUUGUAAACUUCUUUAUAUGGGACGAAAAAGGGCAUUCUUGUUCACUUGACGGUACCAUAUGAAUAAGCACCGGCUAACUCCGU
RNAcentral lists this ribosomal RNA (481 nucleotides) under uncultured bacterium. RNAcentral describes it as "bacterial SSU rRNA". It matches the Rfam family "Bacterial small subunit ribosomal RNA", at positions 28 to 506 of the family's 1533-position model. The record is from RNAcentral.